GACGAACGCUGGCGGCGUGCUUAACACAUGCAAGUCGAACGGAAAGGCCCUGCUUUUGUGGGGUGCUCGAGUGGCGAACGGGUGAGUAACACGUGAGUAACCUGCCCUUGACUUUGGGAUAACUUCAGGCAACUGGGGCUAAUACCGGAUAGGAGCUCCUGCUGCAUGGUGGGGGUUGGAAAGUUUCGGCGGUUGGGGAUGGACUCGCGGCUUAUCAGCUUGUUGGUGGGGUAGUGGCUUACCAAGGCUUUGACGGGUAGCCGGCCUGAGAGGGUGACCGGCCACAUUGGGACUGGUAGACGGCCCAGACUCCUACGGGAGGCAGCAGUGGGGAAUAUUGCACAAUGGGCGGAAGCCUGAUGCAGCAACGCCGCGUGCGGGAUGACGGCCUUCGGGUUGUAAACCGCUUUCGCCUGUGACGAAGCGUGAGUGACGGUAAUGGGUAAAGAAGCACCGGCUAACUACGUG
This 468-nucleotide ribosomal RNA is filed under the name uncultured bacterium. RNAcentral's name for it is "partial 16S ribosomal RNA". It matches the Rfam family "Bacterial small subunit ribosomal RNA", at positions 28 to 507 of the family's 1533-position model. The record is from RNAcentral.